Molecule: ribosomal RNA, 279 nt
Filed under: uncultured bacterium
Lineage: Bacteria
Description: partial 16S ribosomal RNA
Rfam family: Bacterial small subunit ribosomal RNA
Source: RNAcentral
UGCCAGCCGCCGCGGUAACACGAACCGUACAAACGUUAUUCGGAAUCACUGGGCUUAAAGGGUGCGUAGGCGGAUCGACAAGUUGGGGGUGAAAUCCCGGGGCUUAACCCCGGAACUGCCCUCAAAACUGUCGAUCUAGAGACCGGGAGAGGUAAGCGGAAUUCCUAGUGUAGAGGUGAAAUUCGUAGAUAUUAGGAAGAACACCAGUGGCGAAGGCGGCUUACUGGACCGGUACUGACGCUGAGGUACGAAAGCGUGGGGAGCAAACAGGAUUAGAUA